GGCGCCUUAAUUUAUCCGCCGUCCGUUGCGGCUUUCGGCAAAAGAAGUUGAUUCGAAGGCUAGACGAGUCGUCUUCAACAUCGCCUCCCUGCGCACUCGUUUUCCGAUUGCUUUGUGGGACCAAAACAUUAUCCACUUCAUAAUUUCAGUUCCUUUUCCCAUUUCAUCGACUCAAAUUAACUCGUGAGAGGAAUCGCGUUCCAAGUUCAUACUCACUGUUUUGGUGUCUCCAUGUCAACUCUACAAUAUUCUAGCGACUGCUUUCUCAACGAUGCUCUGUUUGCUUUGACGCAAAAUGGUUCAGAAAACGUACCUUCUUCUUUACCACGAGAGCUUUGCAGAUCAUUAAUAUGGCCAUCUGCUCUGUUUUCUUCAAUUAAUCAACAAGUUUUGAGUACAGCCUUCCCUUUCCAGAAAGGCCGUUUGUAAUAUCCCGGAUGGAUCCAACCUGACCUUUCAAUCAUUGCAGUGGCUUUCUUUUUCCUGCUCUCUGUUGUGGGCAGGUUUCAUUGGUAUGCCGUCUUAGUAUACAUGGAAUCUUGAUUGGGACGACACCCUCCUGGAUAUUGGAACUCUCUCUUGGGCCGCGGUAACCUUUCUUCAUUUGCGGAUGAACAUCUCUUGCUUCAGCACAUCGAUACUAUUACUAUUUCACAGGUUAAGCAACAUUAAGAAAUGGAGAGUCACGAGAGUAGUGUAGCGCAGGAUGGUGAUGCAGAACUAUUAUGUGUUGGUGACUUGCAGAUGUAAUCGGUUAAAGUAAAUGUUUCCAUGAGAUUGACUAAAGUGUCUGAUCUGAAGGCUACUUGUCACCCAUUCAUCUGGCUUGUGAGAAGACAAAUUUUCUAGGCCUGAUGGACCUUCAUCUGUCAUUUUCAACUGGUCAAGCUGGUGACGUGCAAAAUGGUUCUCUGGAGUAAAUGUGAAGUUCAGAUGAAUUCUCAGUACCAUUAACAUGAGGGUUGAGAUAGGUUCAUUUAUUCUUUGUCUUAGUUUAUUGUUUUUUAUUCACAAAUCUAACCUGCCAGCUUCCGUAAUCUGCGACUUUUCCAUCAUCUUCCUGAGGCGCAUACUGGGUCAAAGUGGCGGUGAACGGAGGUACAAUUAUGACAUAUAGAUUGCCUUACUUCCAUUGUUCCAUAUUCUUAUCUGGACCUGAAAUUCAUGUUUCAAGUCAUAGUUCUAGUCUUACGUAAACAGUAUACUGAUUCUCUUUUGUUUUAGUUCUGUAACGUGUUUGAAUUUUUUUUGGCAAUAUGCAACUUAAUUGGCACGUAUAAAACAAUAGUCUUAGUAUUAUGGAUAUAUUACUGGGUUAGAGUUCUUCUAGUCUUUUAGGUUGCCGCAUCAUCUGUAUUUACUGAUACUCUUGAGGUACUUUUUAUUGGCUAGAAUUUCUAGUUUUGUGCCACAUACAGAUGAUGGCUGUAUGGGGGGCCAUUUUCGUCGUAAUAUGAGGGCAACGGAAUAGUAAUUGCGACUUUUAUUGGAAUUAUUUUAUGAGAAAAGAAUAAACCGACCUACUGCAUAUUUGAUUUCCAGUUUCAACAUAACUUUUGGUAGAUUUAAUGACAAGAAAAACAUCGAUCUUUUAUAAAUCAAGCAAAGACAAUACAACUAGUCGCUUUCACAUCAGUUCAUGUUUUUGUGAUGGAAUUAUUAAAAUUUUCUAGUGUUUUGGAAUUGCCACGGAAGGAUAUAGUUUUCUUAGACAAUACGUUGAGUUGUCUCUUCUAGGUAAAUAUUUUGGCUAUUUGUGAGAAGCUGAGAACUAUGUAAUGCAUUUUCUGUCAUACCAUCCUUUAGUUUUGGCUAAAAAUAUCCGGAUCUUCUAUGUUAUACUCCAAAAUACUUUCAGAUGCAUCAUUUCUCGCAAUUAAAUAUCAGUUGUACAAAGGAAUCUGAAGUUAGAUUCAUGAAUGAUAAGUUUUGGACUUCUUAGUAUGUUCCACCUCGGAGCAGCCCUGUGGUUUGAUUUUCUGACAACCUAAAUACCAGGUCUAUAUUUGUUAGAUUUGCUACCCCACACUGCUAUUUAAUUUUUAUUUAAUUUUAUUUUUGCUCUGUAUUUUUCAUGAUAACAGGUGGUCAACAGAGCUCACUCUUGCCAUUGCUAUCAGUUACAUAUCUCCAUAAUCCUCCAUCUUUCUGAUGCAAGAGUAUAUUAUAUAUGCUCGUAGUCACAGAGAGGCAAAUUUAAAUGAGUUGAAUUAGGCCUAGAGAGGAGUUGUACCUAACCUAAUAAUUUGAAUUGGGUUCGGGUUGAUUGAAGUCAAGCUAAUGGCAAGAGUUGAUGAACCAACCUGACGUUGUUAGACUCGGGCCCAAUCGACUUAAGUUGUAUUCAUAAUGCACUUUUUAGGUUAGAUUGUACUUUCAAUUGUGGUCAAAAUUAAGUUGACGUUCUAAAUAUUUUUAAAGGUUUUAAAAAUCAUUUCAAACAGGUUAAGAGAUGUAGUGUACUAUAUGUUGGCAGUCUCUUUCUUCCACAUGUCAACUCAAGUCUCCUCGCAGCUCAGGAAAGCCACAGAACAAAGUGUUGAUGCAUUUUAAUUAAUCUACUUCUGUGAGGCUUUUGCAGGUAUUAGUAAUACUGUGGUGUACGUGCACAGGGCUAAUGCAUUGGUGCAAGAAAUACCAAUAUGAACAUAAAACAGUGCUCUCAGCCAUCAGUUCAGGUUCUAAGUAGUUGGAAGUAGUUGGAAUGGGCUUUUGAUGUGGUGGUGAGAUUGAAGAAAUGGGGGCCAGGGAAAGACUUGUAAGCUUUGUGAAAUUGAUGGAAACGUCAUGCAUUCGCAAUAAUUUGUUGAAAUGGCAAAUACCCAACUAUUUCCAAACACUCACAUCUAUACUUAUACUUAUGGUAUGAUUAUUAC
Long non-coding RNA from Cucurbita moschata (crookneck pumpkin), 2876 nucleotides. RefSeq lists it as uncharacterized. NCBI's taxonomy places the organism in Eukaryota, Viridiplantae, Streptophyta, Magnoliopsida, Cucurbitales, Cucurbitaceae. The record is from RefSeq and is a predicted model, not a curated record. The transcript has 6 exons.